GAUGAACGCUGGCGGCGUGCUUAACACAUGCAAGUCGAACGAUUAAGACGGCUUCGGCCGUGUAUAGAGUGGCGAACGGGUGAGUAACACGUGACCAACCUGCCCCGCGCUCCGGGACAACCGCUGGAAACGGCGGCUAAUACCGGAUGCUCCGGGGAGGCCCCAUGGCCUCCCCGGGAAAGCCCUGACGGCGCGGGAUGGGGUCGCGGCCCAUUAGGUAGACGGCGGGGUAACGGCCCACCGUGCCCGCGAUGGGUAGCCGGACUGAGAGGUCGACCGGCCACAUUGGGACUGAGAUACGGCCCAGACUCCUACGGGAGGCAGCAGUGGGGAAUUUUGCGCAAUGGGGGGAACCCUGACGCAGCAACGCCGCGUGCGGGACGAAGGCCUUCGGGUUGUAAACCGCUUUCAGCAGGGAAGAC
RNAcentral lists this ribosomal RNA (422 nucleotides) under uncultured bacterium. RNAcentral describes it as "bacterial SSU rRNA". It matches the Rfam family "Bacterial small subunit ribosomal RNA", at positions 28 to 449 of the family's 1533-position model. The record is from RNAcentral.